CAGAAAUGUUAUGAAACUAGUCUGUACUUACAGUGCAUUGAUUUGUAAACGAGAUGCAGGUCAAGACAAUUUAGAAUUAGCAGAAAAAGAAGUAGAUUUGAAUGGGUUAACAGAAGACAAAUCAGAUUUAAAUGAACAGUGUAACAAUGUAACAGAGAGAACAUUGUCAGAAAAAGUCUGUGAAUUAGAGGAUAGAGUUGAAUUAAGAAAUGAUCUUAUUUGCCAGCUUGGAAAUGAAGUUAAACUAGUGUGUGUUAAUACAAGAAAAAUACAGGCACAGAAUCUA
Molecule: long non-coding RNA, 286 nt
Filed under: Pelobates cultripes (western spadefoot toad)
Lineage: Eukaryota; Metazoa; Chordata; Amphibia; Anura; Pelobatidae
Source: RNAcentral